UGGCUUUCUUCGAUUACCGUGAC
Molecule: microRNA, 23 nt
Filed under: Heligmosomoides polygyrus
Lineage: Eukaryota; Metazoa; Nematoda; Chromadorea; Rhabditida; Heligmosomidae
Description: hpo-miR-10036-3p
Source: miRBase by way of RNAcentral